RNAcentral lists this long non-coding RNA (949 nucleotides) under Pan troglodytes (chimpanzee). RNAcentral's name for it is "long non-coding RNA NONPTRT002655". Lineage: Eukaryota; Metazoa; Chordata; Mammalia; Primates; Hominidae. The record is from RNAcentral.
GUGGCUCUGGCAGAGACCAGCUCCAGCCCUGUCUGCUGGGUCCUUCCAGCCUGUCGUGUCCUGUUGUGUCCUGAGCUCCUGCUGGCUGUCAGGCAUGCUUGCUGGUGCUUCCUGGUGCGCGCAGAGCCCCGGGGUUGUCAUCACUGAUUCCUGCAUUGAUCUGUCUGCACCCCCUCUUCAUAAGUUCAAGGGUGGGACCCCCUUCUUACUUGUCUUUGCACCCUCUGGACCUGGCUGUGCUCAGUGAAAUGGAAGGAAAUGGAAAUGAAAUGGAAGGAAAGUUAAGUGCCCAGAGAAGUGGAUGAGACGGGGUCCCCACCCCAAGGUACUGGCAGGCCAGGGACAGGGGCAUCACUGAAACUGUCCUGUUACACUCCAAAGAGUGUUUCAGCGUCAGGUGGAGGGGAGGGCAGGCUUUUUGAGUAAGAGUUCCCCCAGUGGACGUGGGCUUAGGGAGAGCCAGACGAGGAGGACAGCAUGAGCAAAGGUGGGGAGGCUGGGCGAUCUGAGGGUCGAUGGAGAAGGGCAGCAGGGGUUGCAGAGGUGGGCAGAGUCCAGCUUCCAGCCAAGGACCCCUCCUCUCCUCCAGGUACUUUGAGAACAUCCCCAAGGGUCUAGACCAGGAAGGCUGGACUCGAGGUGGCAUCCAGCCCCAGAUGCCAGGAGGCUACGCCCUCAGCCAGCCGGUCAGCUGCAUGGAGGCCACCCCCAACCCCAUGGAGAGCCUGCGGCACCUGCAUCCCCACGUGGGAAGAACCCUGACCUCAGCCGACCCCUUCUACCAGAACACACCUCACAGCAGCCGCUGCGUGGCACACAGCUGAGCCCUGAGCCCUUGGUUUGUCAAUCCUAGGGGACAGGAGCCAGGCUACUGUCUGUACCCCCACUCCAUCCCCCAGGGGAACACCCCUGCCCAGCUACUUUCCUAAUGAAAUAAAGAGCAUUGAAG